RNAcentral lists this microRNA precursor (67 nucleotides) under Bombyx mori (domestic silkworm). RNAcentral's name for it is "mir-2774 microRNA precursor family". It matches the Rfam family "mir-2774 microRNA precursor family". Lineage: Eukaryota; Metazoa; Arthropoda; Insecta; Lepidoptera; Bombycidae. The record is from Rfam by way of RNAcentral.
AUAACAUUCUUACCAUCAGUCUACCGAGUAAUGUCAUCCGCUCGGUGGAAAAUCUUCCCUUUGUCGU